AAUCAACGCUGGCGGCGUGCCUCAGACAUGCAAGUCGAACGCGAAAGGUUCCUUCGGGAACCGAGUAGAGUGGCGCACGGGUGAGUAACACGUAGGUAAUUUGCCUUUGGGUGGGGAAUAACAGCCGGAAACGGCUGCUAAUACCGCAUAAUGCAGCGGCUCGACAUCGAGACAGUUGUUAAAGCGGGGGAUCGCAAGACCUCGCGCCUAAAGAGAAGCCUGCGGCAGAUUAGCUAGUUGGUAGGGUAAUGGCCUACCAAGGCGACGAUCUGUAACCGGCCUGAGAGGGCGACCGGCCACACUGGGACUGAGAUACGGCCCAGACUCCUACGGGAGGCAGCAGUGGGGAAUCUUGCGCAAUGGGCGAAAGCCUGACGCAGCGACGCCGCGUGAGGGAUGACGGCCUC
This 407-nucleotide ribosomal RNA is filed under the name uncultured bacterium. RNAcentral describes it as "bacterial SSU rRNA". It matches the Rfam family "Bacterial small subunit ribosomal RNA", at positions 32 to 418 of the family's 1533-position model. The record is from RNAcentral.